Molecule: ribosomal RNA, 1529 nt
Filed under: Staphylococcus aureus
Lineage: Bacteria; Bacillati; Bacillota; Bacilli; Caryophanales; Staphylococcaceae
Description: partial 23S ribosomal RNA
Rfam family: Bacterial large subunit ribosomal RNA
Source: RNAcentral
GGCCGACAGGCGUAGGCGAUGGAUAACAGGUUGAUAUUCCUGUACCACCUAUAAUCGUUUUAAUCGAUGGGGGGACGCAGUAGGAUAGGCGAAGCGUGCGAUUGGAUUGCACGUCUAAGCAGUAAGGCUGAGUAUUAGGCAAAUCCGGUACUCGUUAAGGCUGAGCUGUGAUGGGGAGAAGACAUUGUGUCUUCGAGUCGUUGAUUUCACACUGCCGAGAAAAGCCUCUAGAUAGAAAAUAGGUGCCCGUACCGCAAACCGACACAGGUAGUCAAGAUGAGAAUUCUAAGGUGAGCGAGCGAACUCUCGUUAAGGAACUCGGCAAAAUGACCCCGUAACUUCGGGAGAAGGGGUGCUCUUUAGGGUUAACGCCCAGAAGAGCCGCAGUGAAUAGGCCCAAGCGACUGUUUAUCAAAAACACAGGUCUCUGCUAAACCGUAAGGUGAUGUAUAGGGGCUGACGCCUGCCCGGUGCUGGAAGGUUAAGAGGAGUGGUUAGCUUCUGCGAAGCUACGAAUCGAAGCCCCAGUAAACGGCGGCCGUAACUAUAACGGUCCUAAGGUAGCGAAAUUCCUUGUCGGGUAAGUUCCGACCCGCACGAAAGGCGUAACGAUUUGGGCACUGUCUCAACGAGAGACUCGGUGAAAUCAUAGUACCUGUGAAGAUGCAGGUUACCCGCGACAGGACGGAAAGACCCCGUGGAGCUUUACUGUAGCCUGAUAUUGAAAUUCGGCACAGCUUGUACAGGAUAGGUAGGAGCCUUUGAAACGUGAGCGCUAGCUUACGUGGAGGCGCUGGUGGGAUACUACCCUAGCUGUGUUGGCUUUCUAACCCGCACCACUUAUCGUGGUGGGAGACAGUGUCAGGCGGGCAGUUUGACUGGGGCGGUCGCCUCCUAAAAGGUAACGGAGGCGCUCAAAGGUUCCCUCAGAAUGGUUGGAAAUCAUUCAUAGAGUGUAAAGGCAUAAGGGAGCUUGACUGCGAGACCUACAAGUCGAGCAGGGUCGAAAGACGGACUUAGUGAUCCGGUGGUUCCGCAUGGAAGGGCCAUCGCUCAACGGAUAAAAGCUACCCCGGGGAUAACAGGCUUAUCUCCCCCAAGAGUUCACAUCGACGGGGAGGUUUGGCACCUCGAUGUCGGCUCAUCGCAUCCUGGGGCUGUAGUCGGUCCCAAGGGUUGGGCUGUUCGCCCAUUAAAGCGGUACGCGAGCUGGGUUCAGAACGUCGUGAGACAGUUCGGUCCCUAUCCGUCGUGGGCGUAGGAAAUUUGAGAGGAGCUGUCCUUAGUACGAGAGGACCGGGAUGGACAUACCUCUGGUGUACCAGUUGUCGUGCCAACGGCAUAGCUGGGUAGCUAUGUGUGGACGGGAUAAGUGCUGAAAGCAUCUAAGCAUGAAGCCCCCCUCAAGAUGAGAUUUCCCAACUUCGGUUAUAAGAUCCCUCAAAGAUGAUGAGGUUAAUAGGUUCGAGGUGGAAGCAUGGUGACAUGUGGAGCUGACGAAUACUAAUCGAUCGAAGACUUAAUCAAAA